UUCACUUGUUGGUGGGGUAAUGGCCUACCAAGGCGACGACGGGUAGCCGGCCUGAGAGGGCGACCGGCCACACUGGGACUGAGACACGGCCCAGACUCCUACGGGAGGCAGCAGUGGGGAAUAUUGCACAAUGGGCGAAAGCCUGAUGCAGCGACGCCGCGUGAGGGAUGACGGCCUUCGGGUUGUAAACCUCUUUCAGCAGGGAAGAAGCGAAAGUGACGGUACCUGCAGAAGAAGCGCCGGCUAACUACGUGCCAGCAGCCGCGGUAAUACGUAGGGCGCAAGCGUUGUCCGGAAUUAUUGGGCGUAAAGAGCUCGUAGGCGGCUUGUCACGUCGGGUGUGAAAGCCCGGGGCUUAACCCCGGGUCUGCAUCCGAUACGGGCAGGCUAGAGUGUGGUAGGGGAGAUCGGAAUUCCUGGUGUAGCGGUGAAAUGCGCAGAUAUCAGGAGGAACACCGGUGGCGAAGGCGGAUCUCUGGGCCAUUACUGACGCUGAGGAGCGAAAGCGUGGGGAGCGAACAGGAUUAGAUACCCUGGUAGUCCACGCCGUAAACGUUGGGAACUAGGUGUUGGCGACAUCCACGUCGUCGUGCCGCAGCAGAGGCAGCAG
Molecule: ribosomal RNA, 610 nt
Filed under: Streptomyces sp. Y11(2010)
Lineage: Bacteria; Bacillati; Actinomycetota; Actinomycetes; Kitasatosporales; Streptomycetaceae
Description: bacterial SSU rRNA
Rfam family: Bacterial small subunit ribosomal RNA
Source: RNAcentral